This 976-nucleotide ribosomal RNA is filed under the name uncultured bacterium. RNAcentral describes it as "bacterial SSU rRNA". It matches the Rfam family "Bacterial small subunit ribosomal RNA", at positions 9 to 952 of the family's 1533-position model. The record is from RNAcentral.
GAGUUUGAUCCUGGCUCAGAUUGAACGCUGGCGGCAGGCCUAACACAUGCAAGUCGAGCGGAAACGAGUUAACUGAACCUUCGGGGAACGUUAACGGCGUCGAGCGGCGGACGGGUGAGUAAUGCCUGGGAAAUUGCCCUGAUGUGGGGGAUAACCAUUGGAAACGAUGGCUAAUACCGCAUAAUAGCUUCGGCUCAAAGAGGGGGACCUUCGGGCCUCUCGCGUCAGGAUAUGCCCAGGUGGGAUUAGCUAGUUGGUGAGGUAAUGGCUCACCAAGGCGACGAUCCCUAGCUGGUCUGAGAGGAUGAUCAGCCACACUGGAACUGAGACACGGUCCAGACUCCUACGGGAGGCAGCAGUGGGGAAUAUUGCACAAUGGGCGCAAGCCUGAUGCAGCCAUGCCGCGUGUAUGAAGAAGGCCUUCGGGUUGUAAAGUACUUUCAGCAGUGAGGAAGGUGGGUAUGUUAAUAGCAUACUCAUUUGACGUUAGCUGCAGAAGAAGCACCGGCUAACUCCGUGCCAGCAGCCGCGGUAAUACGGAGGGUGCGAGCGUUAAUCGGAAUUACUGGGCGUAAAGCGCAUGCAGGUGGUUUGUUAAGUCAGAUGUGAAAGCCCGGGGCUCAACCUCGGAAUUGCAUUUGAAACUGGCAAACUAGAGUACUGUAGAGGGGGGUAGAAUUUCAGGUGUAGCGGUGAAAUGCGUAGAGAUCUGAAGGAAUACCGGUGGCGAAGGCGGCCCCCUGGACAGAUACUGACACUCAGAUGCGAAAGCGUGGGGAGCAAACAGGAUUAGAUACCCUGGUAGUCCACGCCGUAAACGAUGUCUACUUGGAGGUGGUGGCCUUGAGCCGUGGCUUUCGGAGCUAACGCGUUAAGUAGACCGCCUGGGGGAGUACGGUCGCAAGAAUUAAAAACUCAAAAUGAAUUUGACGGGGGGCCCCGCACAAAGCGGGGGGAGCAUUGGCGGGUUUAAAUU